RNAcentral lists this ribosomal RNA (1160 nucleotides) under uncultured fungus. RNAcentral describes it as "eukaryotic LSU rRNA". The stretch from base 528 to 1160 matches the Rfam family "Eukaryotic large subunit ribosomal RNA", at positions 1 to 649 of the family's 3401-position model. The record is from RNAcentral. Lineage: Eukaryota; Fungi.
GUCGUAACAAGGUUUCCGUAGGUGAACCUGCGGAAGGAUCAUUAUCGACAACGGGGCCCUUCGGGGCCUCAUCCCCCAUCCGAUGCAUACUUACCGAGUCGCUUUGGCGAGCGCGGGGAGAACGGUCGCCCGUCAUCUCCCCUCGGGUUCGUCGAUGGCCCCCCCAUCAACCCACUGUCAUUCAUGUUGUCCGAACACAUCAAAUAGCACAAAACUUUCAACAACGGAUCUCUUGGUUCCGGCAUCGAUGAAGAACGCAGCGAAAUGCGAUAAGUAAUGUGAAUUGCAGAGUUCAGUGAAUCAUCGAAUCUUUGAACGCACAUUGCGCCCCCUGGCAUUCCGGGGGGCAUGCCUGUUCGAGCGUCAUUGCAUCCCUCAAGCUUUGCUUGGUGUUGGGUGGUCGUUCCAAGGGACGCCCCCGAAACUCAGCGGCGAUGCGGCCGUGGUCCCAAGCGCAGUCGGAUGGUUUCAUUCGCUUCGGGAGCCGUGGUCGGGUCCGCCGGACAAGCCCUUAGAACUUCUACGAUUGACCUCGGAUCAGGUAGGAAUACCCGCUGAACUUAAGCAUAUCAAUAAGCGGAGGAAAAGAAACCAACAGGGAUUGCCUCAGUAACGGCGAGUGAAGCGGCAUCAGCUCAAAUUUGAAAUCUGGCCCCCGCGGUCCGAGUUGUAAUUUGCAGAGGACGUCUCGGGGGGCGGUGUCGGUCUAAGUUCCUUGGAACAGGACGUCGCAGAGGGUGAGAAUCCCGUACGUGACCGGUGGCCCCCCCCAUGCGAGGCCCCUUCGACGAGUCGAGUUGUUUGGGAAUGCAGCUCUAAAUGGGUGGUAAAUUUCAUCUAAAGCUAAAUACUGGCCGGAGACCGAUAGCGCACAAGUAGAGUGAUCGAAAGAUGAAAAGCACUUUGGAAAGAGAGUCAAACAGUACGUGAAAUUGUUGAAAGGGAAGCGCUUGCGACCAGACUUGCUCGCGGGUGAUCAUCCGUCCCUCGGGGGCGGUGCACUCGCCCGCGAUCAGGCCAGCAUCGGUUCUGGCGGCCGGACAAAGAGCCCGGGAACGUAGCUUCUUUCAGGGAGUGUUAUAGCCCGGGCUGCCAUGCGGCCAGCCGGGACCGAGGACCGCGCUUCGGCUAGGAUGCUGGCGCAAUGGUCGUCAGCGACC